Long non-coding RNA from Tachyglossus aculeatus (Australian echidna), 464 nucleotides. RefSeq lists it as uncharacterized. The record is from RefSeq and is a predicted model, not a curated record. The transcript has 3 exons. NCBI's taxonomy places the organism in Eukaryota, Metazoa, Chordata, Mammalia, Monotremata, Tachyglossidae.
CUGCCAUGUAUUUUUCCACCUUAGGUCUUCAAGGCCUUUUACUGGAUGGUGGAGACGGACUCACUGGAGUUCAAAGCAGAGAGACUAGAUCCAUGCACAUUCUAACUGGCUCCAUGCAGAUAGCUAACUGUGCGUCCUCCCGAGCUGUCUUCAGGCUCCACCCCUGGUCUUUAUGGCUUGGGCUGUUGCCGAGAGCACAGAGGUAGGAAUGUAGGUGAAGAGCUUCAUGCUAAUCCCCAACCCCAUAAUCCCUGAAAGGGUUUUCACUUUGUCCUUCCACUCUGCCUGCUCUUCCCUCGCAACCUUGGACCAAGUCAACAAACCACUCUGUGGCACCUAACCAGAUUCAGCGUCCUAAGAGCUGAGAUGGUUUAGUGUGGAAAUGAUGGAGAAUGAAACAGGGCCAGCUAGCACUACUCAAGAAAAGCUCCAUUUCUUCCAUCGAGCGUUCACCUCUAGAAGAG